UGCCAGCAGCCGCGGUAAUACGGAGGGUGCAAGCGUUGUUCGGAAUUACUGGGCGUAAAGCGCGCGUAGGCGGUCUGUUUAGUCAGAUGUGAAAGUCCACGGCUCAACCGUGGAAGUGCAUUUGAAACUGGCAGACUUGAGUACUGGAGGGGGUGGUGGAAUUCCCGGUGUAGAGGUGAAAUUCGUAGAUAUCGGGAGGAAUACCGGUGGCGAAGGCGACCACCUGGCCAGAUACUGACGCUGAGGUGCGAAAGCGUGGGGAGCAAACAGGAUUAGAUA
RNAcentral lists this ribosomal RNA (279 nucleotides) under uncultured bacterium. Its description in RNAcentral is "partial 16S ribosomal RNA". It matches the Rfam family "Bacterial small subunit ribosomal RNA", at positions 506 to 784 of the family's 1533-position model. The record is from RNAcentral.